RNAcentral lists this ribosomal RNA (510 nucleotides) under uncultured bacterium. RNAcentral describes it as "bacterial SSU rRNA". It matches the Rfam family "Bacterial small subunit ribosomal RNA", at positions 338 to 841 of the family's 1533-position model. The record is from RNAcentral.
CCUACGGGAGGCAGCAGUGGGGAAUUUUGGACAAUGGGCGCAAGCCUGAUCCAGCAAUGCCGCGUGCAGGAUGAAGGCCUUCGGGUUGUAAACUGCUUUUGUACGGAACGAAACGGUGAGCUCUAAUACAGUUUGCUAAUGACGGUACCGUAAGAAUAAGCACCGGCUAACUACGUGCCAGCAGCCGCGGUAAUACGUAGGGUGCGAGCGUUAAUCGGAAUUACUGGGCGUAAAGCGUGCGCAGGCGGUGAUGUAAGACAGAUGUGAAAUGCCCGGGCUCAACCUGGGACCUGCAUUUGUGACUGCAUCGCUAGAGUACGGUAGAGGGGGAUGGAAUUCCGCGUGUAGCAGUGAAAUGCGUAGAUAUGCGGAGGAACACCGAUGGCGAAGGCAAUCCCCUGGACCUGUACUGACGCUCAUGCACGAAAGCGGNGGAGACAACAGAGUAGUAUACCUACGUAGUACACGACCUAACCGAACUAGUCUACUAGUUGGUUGGUUCGUUCUACU